AACGAACGCUGGCGGCAUGCCUAACACAUGCAAGUCGAACGAGACCUUCGGGUCUAGUGGCGCACGGGUGCGUAACGCGUGGGAACCUUCCCUUAGGUUCGGAAUAACUCCCCGAAAGGGGUGCUAAUACCGGAUAAUGUCUUCGGACCAAAGAUUUAUCGCCUUUGGAUGGGCCCGCGUUGGAUUAGAUAGUUGGUAGGGUAAAAGCCUACCAAGGCGACGAUCCAUAGCUGGUCUGAGAGGAAGAUCAGACACACUGGGACUGAGACACGGCCCAGACUCCUACGGGAGGCAGCAGUGGGGAAUAUUGGACCAUGGGCGAAAGCCUGAUCCAGCAAUGCCGCGUGAGUGAUGAAGGCAUUAGGGUUGUAAAGCUCUUUUACCCGGGAUGAUAAUGACAGUACCGGGAGAAUAAGCUCCGGCUAACUACGUG
RNAcentral lists this ribosomal RNA (433 nucleotides) under uncultured bacterium. RNAcentral's name for it is "partial 16S ribosomal RNA". It matches the Rfam family "Bacterial small subunit ribosomal RNA", at positions 29 to 507 of the family's 1533-position model. The record is from RNAcentral.